Molecule: ribosomal RNA, 254 nt
Filed under: uncultured bacterium
Lineage: Bacteria
Description: partial 16S ribosomal RNA
Rfam family: Bacterial small subunit ribosomal RNA
Source: RNAcentral
CACGUAGGGUGCGAGCGUUGUCCGGAAUUAUUGGGCGUAAAGGGCUCGUAGGCGGUGUGUCGCGUCGGCCGUGAAAACCUGCAGCUUAACUGUGGGCUUGCGGUCGAUACGGGCAUCACUGGAGUUCGGCAGGGGAGACUGGAAUUCCUGGUGUAGCGGUGAAAUGCGCAGAUAUCAGGAGGAACACCGGUGGCGAAGGCGGGUCUCUGGGCAAUAACUGACGCUGAGGAGCGAAAGCGUGGGGAGCGAACAGG